This 228-nucleotide non-coding RNA is filed under the name Terrisporobacter mayombei. RNAcentral describes it as "T-box". It matches the Rfam family "T-box leader". From Rfam's summary of the family: Uncharged tRNA acts as the effector for transcription antitermination of genes in the T-box leader family. T-boxes are found upstream of many aminoacyl-tRNA synthetase genes and some amino acid biosynthetic genes usually in Gram-positive bacteria. The record is from RNAcentral. Lineage: Bacteria; Bacillati; Bacillota; Clostridia; Peptostreptococcales; Peptostreptococcaceae.
AAUAGUGCGAUGAAGAGACAAAGUAAAAUAGAUAAAUUGUUUUACAGAGAAGAUGAGCCUUGGCUGUGAGCUCGUCCAAAAUAAUCCUAUUUGAAAACUAACUUGGAGCAGAAUUUAGUAGCAUGUAUAUGCGAAAGUAUUCGGUUGACAACCUUAUAGUCAUCAAGAGGAUAUGUAUAUUAUAUAUAUCAACUUGGGUGGAACCACGAGAUAUAACUCGUCCCAAUU